CACGAUAACCGCCUGUGAGAUCAGUGGAGGGCAUGAAAGUACCGGUGAAAAGAUCCUUUUUUUCAACCUUAGAUACAUCAAAAAGGAUGGGAAAACUUUUACCAUCGAGCAAAACAACAACGUUUGGAUUGAAUGAAAUGAAUGGACCUGGUGGCAUGUUCGUUCGAAAAACAGUAGACUGAUGCUUCUGAAUUCUUGAUUUGAAAAACUCAUUUUUGCCCUGAUUGUAAAAGUAAUCAAGUCUGUCUUUCCAUGGACCAACUAAUGGCAGUCCAUAAUCUCCAGGGACUUUUCGGGUUGGGAGUUUUGCUUGUUUAACAGGUGGCGAUGGUGAUGGUGAUGGUGAUGAAAUGUAUGGCGGUCUCUCAGACACUGAAGCCUGAAUGGGACGAAUACUAACACGAUGAGACGAUGAAUUUUUACGAGAAGAUGAUGAUUUAUGUGAGGGGAAUUGUAGCUUAAGAGAAGGAAGAGCAAGAGAAGUUGAUGCCAUUUCUGUUAGAAAUCAAGAAUUGAACUCUUGACUUUUCUUCAACAAGAGAAGGGGAGUUCAAUAUAGUUGAAUGAGAAUGAGAAAUCUCUGUGGGUAUUCUUGCCUAUAAAUAAACAAGUGUGUGAUGUCAAAAGUAAGGUGAUGACAUUUGAGGUCUCAAUCAAUUAGCGGAGCCAGGUAGGGCCGAGGGAAUUUGAACCCUCUACAACAAAAAAAAAAACUAUAUUAUUUAUAUUUGGUUAAAAUUAUUAUUUUUAUGUAUCUAUAAUAUAUGUUGAUCCUUCAUUAUGUGUUUACUUCUUCAUAUUCUAAACACUCUUAGAAAAAAUCCUGAGUCCGCCUCGAGUCUUAAUCAUGAGAUAUUAAUGAUAUAUUAUGGUUUGUGGGGUGGCUUGAUGGCACAAAAAUAUAGUAAUACGCAUAACAAAGGCGUGCGACAAAUUAUAUAUAAAAAAGAACGGCACUUUCUUAUUGGUUUCUGUGGUGCUUUUAUUAUUGAUCUGGCUCGUGUUUUAUUUGUUUUUGGGAUCUAAGUAGAAAUAAUUUAUUUAUUUUUUCAUGCCACCGUCUUUGAUUCCUUCUGUUCCUCAUUAAUUUCUUAAAAUUACUAAAUUAAUAAUUGUACACAGAGUGCUUUUCUCAUGUUGGCUUGUUUUUCGUUUUCCGUCCACUUUGACAUGUGGUUUCUGUCAAAUUUGCUUUUUUAGAAUUAUAUUUUUUUUGGUUGUUGUUGCUAUUUUGCUAGUUUCUAGUCAAGCAUGCAAUGUGAUACUUCCUUCGAGCUUCGUUUAUUUUUACUUAUCUAGUAUUUAUCUGAUACACGUCUUAAGAAAAUUUUAUACUUAUUGAAUAUAAUAAAUUUAAUAUUUUAAAAAAUAUAUUGAGAAAUGAUUAUAGUUAACAAAAAAGUGUAAAUUAGUAAUUAAGUAAUAUAUUAUUUUUUAAUUUUUCAAACUGAAUAAGUAAAAAUGAAUGUUUAUUUUUAAUAUAGUGAACAAGUAAAAUUGAAAUUGAUUUCAACAAGGAUAAACACUGAAAGGAUAAUUGUAGAUUAAAUAUUUCAUAUUGUCAAAUCAUGAUCCAGUUUCCAUUUAAACUUUGACCUUGACAAACCAAAAAAAAAAAAAAGAUUAGGCACUUAAUCCAAAUUCACUUAUAAUAUAAACUUUAAUGUUUCAAUAUUCGUUUAUGAAUUUUUUUAUACUUUCCACGAUGUGAGAGAGUGAUGCGUUAAACACAAAUAUUAAGGUCAAAUCGAAUAGUCUGUAUAGAAUAAUAAUAACAUUUUAUAUUAAGUUUUCAAAAUUAGACCAGUAGUUGAUGACAUUAUUCUUUUAAAUUAGUCAAUAUGUUUAUACAACAACAACAAAAAUACUUUUAUACAUUUGAAGAACAUUUCCCUCUCUUUUAAUUUAUGUUCAUAUUCAGUUUGUUAGUAACUAUACUAUAGUUAUGUAAUAUAUUAUUAUAUUCUAUAACCUGUAGUUACCUAAUUGAAAGCUUUACAUUAAACAAUAAGAAUAAUAAAUUAAAUAGUCAACGAAUGGUCUUAUUUCCCGUAUUUUGAAUAAAUUUAUAUAACUUAUACUACGUUUGGUACGUAAAUAGAAAAUAAGUUAUUCACGUAUAACAUUAAUAUGACAAUUUAGAAACAAACAUAACCCAAUACAUCUAUAAAUCAUGAGGAAAUCUAUAUAUUAUUUUAUACAAAAUAAAAGAUGAAAUAACUAAUAUAUGCAUAAAAUUAUACAUAACUGAUUCCUACAUUAUUAACAUCUACAUAACUUUAAUCAGAUGUUUAAACAUGAAAUGAAUGAACUCUACGUAACAAAUUUCCGUUAUGUGUAACACAUAGGAGUAUUUAGUUUUCCAUCUGGACGGCGUUGAAUUGACCCGUUAACGUAUUAGAGGACGGAAGUCAAAGACUGCAGUGGUCAAACAUUUUGAUCCAAACCUAAGAUGUUGUGCUUGUGCCGGCACAUUAAAUUUAUUCCCACUACCGUCCAUACUAUACUUACGUGUGUUCCUUUCAUUUUUUCUUUAUCGUCGUUGAUUAAAAACGAAUAAUAUCAUAUCAUAUUGAAAAUAUAUUUUUGAUUGAUUUAGUUUAAUAUAAUUAGCAUAGGAAUAGUGAUUUGACAAAUUGAGUAUAAAGAUGGUGGAAUGAUGACUUGAGCUGAGGCUUAGAUUACUAUGUUUAUUAUGUUAAAUAUGGCUUGGAGAGACCGUCUUUAAAAAAAUAGUUUUAAGGUUUAGUGAUUAUAAAUGCUUGAUCAUGUGGAGGCACACUAAGCUAACGUUUGGCCAUAAAUUUCUAAAUAUUCUUGGCAAAUAUUAUUUGGGUGAAAUUUCACCAUGUGUUUGGCCAUAGUAUUUGGGAAAUAUAUUUCACUUUUUUAGAAAAAUAUGAUUUAUACCCACAAGUUUUAAACACUAUCAAAACUAACCAUAAGUUUGUAUUACAAGCCAAUUGAAUCUUCGUUGCAACAAUAACAAAUAGUGUACAUGACACUAGAGCAAUGUGGUAGUUUGGAGUGAGUGCAACAAGCAUCAUUCCAUACAUCGUGAAGUAGACAAAGCACAUGACUUUGUUANNNNNNNNNNNNNNNNNNNNNNNNNNNNNNNNNNNNNNNNNNNNNNNNNNNNNNNNNNNNNNNNNNNNNNNNNNNNNNNNNNNNNNNNNNNNNNNNNNNNNNNNNNNNNNNNNNNNNNNNNNNNNNNNNNNNNNNNNNNNNNNNNNNNNNNNNNNNNNNNNNNNNNNNNNNNNNNNNNNNNNNNNNNNNNNNNNNNNNNNNNNNNNNNNNNNNNNNNNNNNNNNNNNNNNNNNNNNNNNNNNNNNNNNNNNNNNNNNNNNNNNNNNNNNNNNNNNNNNNNNNNNNNNNNNNNNNNNNNNNNNNNNNNNNNNNNNNNNNNNNNNNNNNNNAUAGAUUUCCAAAUAUUCUUGGCAAAUAUUUUUUGGGUGAAAAUUUGGGUGAAAUUUCAUCAUGUGUUUGGCCAUAGUAUUUGGGAAAUAUAUUUCACUUUUUUAGAAAAAUAUGAUUUAUAUCCAUAAGUUUUAAAAACUAUCAAAACUAACCAUAAGUUUGUAUUACAAGCCAAUUGAAUCUUCGUUGCAACAAUAACAAAUAGUGUACAUGACACUAGAGCAAUGUGGUAGUUUGGAGUGAGUGCAACAAGCAUCAUUCCAUACAUCGUGAAGUAGACAAAGCACAUGACUUUGUUACCCUGAGCCGAUUGUUCAUUAUUUUCAUCAACAACCAUAUCAUCAUUUAAUAUUCAUUGAAUAUUUCAUCACUACUUUGGUGUUCACAUGAAAAACUAUGUAAUACGACACAAACAACUACUACAGAGGGUGUUUUUGUAAAAGAUAAAAGUUUGGGGUAAAAUUUCAAUUUUCAAAAGAUCCCAAAUAAUGAGAUUUGGCCCAAAUACUAGAAAAAACUAGUAUUUGGGAAUUUGGGAUAUUUGCCAAAAAUAUUUGCCAAAUAAUGGCAAAUUGUAUGGACAAACACUAUUUGCCAAAUUUUUUCCCAAAUAUUAUUUAGGAAAUCUAUGGCCAAACGGGCCCUUAAUUAAUCUCAAAAUUUUACAUGUGGAUCUUGAUAGUGGGCCAUAUGAAAUUUAGCUUCCAUUUUGUUAGAGAUUUUGUUGAAAUUGAAUUGUCUGUUUUUGAAACUUGAGAGUAUUUUGAUGAUAAAUUUACAAACUCUAAUUCAAAACUUAUAAAAUUAUAAUCAAACAUUAGCUUAGUAUUAGAGAGAUUGUAAAGCGUGCAAAGAAAGUCCCAAAUUCAUAGUUGAUCAAUGGAUUAAGGAGCUACAUAAAAGAUAUAAAAUUACUAAAAUUAUUUGAGUGAAAUCGUGUGGGGGAAAUAUUGUCCUUAUCAUAUUAAAAAUAUUAUUGAGUUGAUUUAACCGAACAAAUUAUUUAGAUAAAGGAUAUUUACUAUUUGAGAAAAAGGUCAAUCAUAUCAACAGAUUUGAAGUUUAAGUAAGGUCAAUCAAUUUGAAGUUUAAGCUAUAUAAUAGUAUAUAUCAACAGAUUUAAAUUUCACGCAACAUGAUAGUAUCUAUCUAUCUAAUUAUGAUAGUAAAUAUCUAUCUAAUUUACUUGAAUAGCAAAAGACUUUAACCUUAGAAUUUUAAAAUUACAAAAAAGUUGUCCUCAUAUUAUUUCAAGAUUUGUGUAUAAGUAUUUUAAAGCCCCCACGCUAUUUAUAAUAUAAAAAAUACAAUUGCAUGGGAGUUGGUACCGUUGCUGUCAUAUAUAAUAUAGUAUAAAGUAUAUAAAAAUAAUAAUAAUAUACUAUAUGAUUGAAACGUGACAGAGAGAGGAAACAAAUUGAUAUUAUAAACAAUUUUAGCAAUAGGACAAAGUAAGAGUUUUAAGUUUUCGAGUCUCUUUAAUCAGUAUUUGGUUAAGAGUAUAUGUAAAAUUUAUUUUGGAACAUAUCUUACAAACAACCUUGAACUGUCUAUUAUUAAGCCUUUGGAGCCCAGAAACUAGUUACAUGCCUCAUUAACAUAGAUACCUAGCUAUGAUCGGUGUUUUCAAAGACGUUUAGGCAUAUCUUGAGGCGGAGCAUAUUAAAAAUAUUUUGGGGCGCAAAUGAAAAUGUAGAUCUAUAAAACGUAUGUUAGGAGAAUUUGAGACUUAAGUUCUGAAUGCAAAAGCAUAAGCUAGCCCUAUGUAUAAAAGUAUAAUUCCUAAGAUUUUUGUGUAAUUAUUUAUCAAGAACCGCUUCAUUUUACACCCCGCCUCUUAAAACAUUUAUGAUCAAUUACUAUAGAAUCCAAUCAAAGACUUAACUUUCAGAGGAUCGAUACAAACUGUACUAUAAUAUAGUGAAUUUUUAUAUAUAUAAUGCAAAAGUAUACGCAUAUCAUUAAUGUAAUUUAACUUAUUAGGAAAGUGGAGUUACUAUAUUACCAUAUAGUAUACUACUAACUAUAAGCCAAUAUUAUGAGUCAUGACUAGUUCAUAAAAAAAAAUUGGUUACGUUAGGAAGCCAACUGCCCAUGUAAAUAGUACUACUAGCAUUAUUUUAGGAAUUUGAUUUGAAGUAUUCAACUUUUUUUUGCCCAAAACUUGUACUCACUACGAAAAACUCCAAUACUGAUAACUAUAAAAAAUAUAAAUAAAAAUAACAAAUUCUACUUGGUGAUAUAUUAGCUUAUGAAGCGAAAAUUUAAGCAUCUUUUUUUCCCCCAAAGAAAUCAAGAGAAUUAUUUUAGGAACUUCUUGUUCUUUUUCUAGUAAAAUCUAGUCACCCGACCUAUAUUAAUCUUUGUUGGUGGGAGUUUGGAUCGUUUGACAUGAAUUACUUCCCGUAUAUUUAAAAUCUAUUUUGUAAUAGUUGAUUUUUUCUUUUUAUAUAUGAUGGGUAUGAAUAUAUAAAUUAUAGUUUAUAAUAACAAAGAACGUUAUCAUCUAAAAAUUAAAGAGCUAAUUCGGGAUCAAUUUGAAUUCAGUUAGAUUUUAAAAAAGUUCGAUUGAGCUCGAUUCAAUUCGUUGUUGCAACAAAUUCAACUAAGCUAGCUCGACUCAAAAUCAAUUUUACAAUCACUUCACAUAAGAAAUAGAGAUCAUCCGUAAUAUUGCAAACUACACGAGUCCAUGUGUCAUUAACAUAAACAUGUGGGGAGGUUUUUGUACAUUUAAAAACUUGAAAUUUAAAAGAAAAAAAGGGAAGGAGCUCAAAUGGGGGUUUAGGGUUUAGUACUGUAAUCCAGAACAAAAAAUAUGAAUCUUCAAUCUGCUUGUUCAUUGCUUCAGCAUGAAUCUUCAAUCCCCAAUUUUUCUCAAUUCCAGUUUCGCAAUGUAAGUAUUUUCUUCUCAUUUCUCUGUGUAUUUGAUCUUUUUUUUUGUUUUAGGAUUUUCGGUAUCUGUAUAUAUAUACACUAGUAAAUUUUAUCAAUUCUGUGUAGAUUUCUGUGGUGCGGAAGAAUCAUGGUAGAAGAAGCUAUGUUCGAUUGGAUAAAAGAACCCAUUUGGUUCAGAAUGAUGUAAAAUGUAAAUUUUCUCGCUCUCUUUCCAAUUUCCUCUGUUGGGUUUUGUGAAAGUUUGCUUUAAAGAUAGAAUUUUGGGUUGAAAUUUUGAUAUUCAUGUUUGUUUCCAAUUUCCUCUUCUGGGUAACUCUACAUUUCUUCAAAAGAUAGUCUUUUGCUUUGUUUCCAAUUUUCCUCUGUUGGGUUUUGUAAGUAUUGCAUUAAAGAUAGAAUUUUGGUUUGAAAUUUAAACAUCCAAUUUUCAUUCCAAUUUCUUCUGUUGGGUUUUGUAUAUAUUGUUUUAUAAAAAUAGUAUUUUGGGUUGAAAUUCAGGCAUCUAUGCUUUCUUUCCAAUUUCCUCUUUGGGGUACCUCUAUAUUGCUUCAAAAGAAAGUCUUUGGCUUUGUUUCUAAUUUCUGUUUUCGAGGAUGUAUGCAUAUGUUUACAUUUCUUUAAAUAUGGCCUUGUUUCCUUUAUUUUGCAGUUAUUCCGUCACUGAAGAGGGAAUUGAUAGUGUGUGCCUCUAAUUCCAGUCCUCCGGGGAAGUUGAAUUAUGAUGGUGGGGAAAGUAGGGAUGUGAGCAGAAUCACCAGUAACGGGUCUGAACCAUUUCGGGGUAAAUCAGGUUCUGUUUCAUUCCAAGGGAUUACACACCAAAUGGUUGAAGAAAGUAAGUUGGUGUCAUCCCCUUUUGAGGAAAAAAGAGGCUCCUUUCUAUGGGUUCUUGCUCCUAUUGCAUUGAUCUCUUCUUUGGUGCUUCCUCGAUUCUUCAUUGUGGUUGCCGUUGAUGACUUGAUUAAGAAUGCAACUCUUGCAGGUAUAUGAAAGUAGAGUAGGAGUUGGUUGUUACUUUCUAUAUGCUGUUUCUGUAACCAUUAACUUGCUAUGCGACUUCGGAAAAGAUGAUGUUUAUUAACCUGGUGAUUGGAUAUGUAAACUUGCAGAAGUGAUAUUAACUAAUCAUUACCUGUGAAUGUUUGAUGAUAUUGUGAGGACUGAUUUAGUCCUUAUUCUUAACAUAAUUCAGGAUAAUUCACUUUCAGUUUAAUCAACAAUUUAUUUUAGUUUGUUAUUAACAGAGAAGUCAGACAAGGUUAAUGUUUUCAGCUAGAAUAUAUAUAUUGAUAUUUGAGUUUUCAAGGGAGAUUUACUCCGCCAUGAACGGGGUCUGUCUGUCUUGGUAUAAUGCAUUUAAUUCUCUAUGUUUUGUUAGCAUUCAUUUAUUCUAGUCAAUCAUGGAGAGUAGAAUCUAAUGGUUCAGACAAUUAUAAUGGGUAAUUACAUACACUCACACUAAACGCCCUUGUCUUAUUUAAAAAAAAAAGAUACACCCACACUAGAUGAAACUUGAAGUAUGCUUAAAUGGGUGAAAAAUAAGAUUUAACGUCUUAGAAGAUUCCCCUACUCUUAUGAAUUAAUUUUUGUUUCAACUGAAUGUUAGUAGUAGUAAAAAAUGGUCAACUUUGAAGUGUACGUUAAAGGUGUUACUUUUGGAUACCUGGAUAGAUUUUAUGAUAGUUUUCAAUUGGCCAGCUAGGUUGAUGUGUAGAUAGUUUGUUUAAGCUGUUAAGCAACAACAUUACAAAUCUUAUAUAACAGUUUUAUAGUCAAUUUUCUCCCCCAAAAGUUUCUUGUUGGUCGAAACGGUUUACCAUUUAAUAGAAUCUCAUCCAUUUUACCAUUACUAGAAUGUAGCAUGUUAUCAGAUUUAAAGAACAAAAACUUUCCAAAUUGUACGAGCUGUGAGAUUGUGAAAAUUAUAGCUAGAUGCACACGAUUCAGCUGCACUUACACUUAUUCAUGUGAAAAAUUACUGAAAUCUACAUCUGUCUAUGCAGAAAUUGUUUCUUCACUUUUCUCUGAGGUCAUGUUUUACAUUGGCCUUGCGACAUAUCUUCGGGUCACUGACAGCGUUCAGAAGCCAUAUCUACAAUUCAGUGCAAAGAGAUGGAGCCUCAUAACUGGGCUUAAGGGAUAUAUAACAUCUGCUUUCUUUGUAAUGGGGUUUAAGAUUUUUGCCCCACUCUUCGCUCUUUAUGUUACCUGGCCUUCACUUGGCUUGCCAGGCUUGGUUGCAGUGGCUCCUCUUUUGGUUGGCUGUUUGGUGCAGUAUUUAUUCGAGAGAUUGCUUGACAGACACGGAUCAUCUUCUUGGCCCUUGGUGCCAAUUAUUUUUGAGGUAUGCAAACUGCUAAUUUUUUUCCUUUUCUUUUCGGGGUUAAGGAAAGUCAACAUGGAACUGAGGAUUUCAAAUCUUUGCAGAUUUAUAGGAUAUAUCAGUUGACGAGAUCCGUCCAUUUUGUGGAGAAGUUGAUGUUUUCUAUGAGCGGAGCUCCUGUCACGCCCGAGUUGUUUGACAGAAGUGGUGCAUUGGUUGCUAUGAUAGUGACUUUCCAAGUUUUAGGAGUGAUUUGCUUAUGGUCCUUGCUUACAUUUCUUCAAAGGCUCUUUCCUUCCAGACCUGUUUCUGAAAACUACUAAUCUUUGUAGAUGAAGAUGUUGAUCUUUUUUCUCUUUUGCUUUAUAGAAACUUUGAUUUGCAUUAAUUUAAAUGAUCUAGUGCAGUAUCUAGUCCUACUUUUCUGAGCUAAAUAAUAGAGAUAUGCCUUAGCUUUCAGUUCAUCAAUUAUGGUUUUAUCCUGGUAAAUUUAAUUAGAUGUGGCUGUUCGAUAAAUACGUUAUCUGAAUGACACUCCAGCAUCAAGCAGCAGAACAAAAGUUCAUAUACAAAUCUCUGAUAGACACUUAAAUCUGUCUCAUACAUGUUCAAUUUGUCCUAAAAGCAAAUUGCUCUGCACCAUUUUAAGUUGUUAAUGGAAAAGGUACAAGGUUAUGGUUUGGAUCAAAGAGACAAAUGCACAUGAAGAUAUAAUUGCUACAAAUCUGAUCUUUCUGUAUAAUCUGUGGAAUAAUUCACUUUCCAAGAAUAAGUCUUUAACCUAAUCAAGCCAGGAGAAGGAUUUUCUCAAGAAAUUAAAAGAGGUGAAGGUUUACAUUGGAGAUCAACUUGAAAAACUUCACAAAACUCCUUGACUAAAGAUUUAUGAGUAAUAUCAAUAAGUUGGACAUCAUUAAUGUCCUGAUGGUUUUCUGUACCACGGCCAUUAGAGUGGGAGUGCUCCCUCAGCAAUCCUUUUAUGCUUCCAACUUGACGGUCACGAAUCCCACAUGGAACUAUCUGUUGAAAGGGUGACAGAUCUGUGGUGACAUUCAGUGCCAGGCCAUGAUAUGUGACCCAGUGAGAUACUCGAAUGCCAAUUGCAGCUAAUUUCCGCCCUCCUGAAAGAAGCCAGUGUUGGAUCAAAAUAUUACAUGCCUUCCUUCAGAAGUAAAAGGCGUAAUAAUAAUACACCAUACUUACGGUUGAGGGAUACAAAAAGGAAGGACGAAAAGGUUCUUUGGUGAGGUGGGUGGAAGGAGGAGAAUAACAAUGUACUCUUGAUUAGGACUCUAAAGACUGUUCUACCUCUCAAACUACGAAAAUUAAAACAGUCAACCAAAUAAGCCAAGUAAAGCAAUUUUAGAUAACGAUGAAACAGUUCUAUCUCCUUUAAAAAAGUCCAUUCCUUAUUUAAUCCUCCCUCAAAUCUUGCUUAGUUUGUUUGUUCGCCCAGGAAAUACCUUUUAUUCACUUCUUAUUUCUCUCGAAAGCACCCAACCAACUAUUUUUCUGUUUGACAAGGAGAUAUAUAGAAAGUGUGCAGUUAAGCUACUUCUCAAAAUUUAGUUUUUUUAAAAAAAGGAGCAACUUGUAAAGCUAUCUCCAGAAUUGUUCCUGGAAUGGAACAUGCAAUUGGUAAUAAGAUUAUUGGAGAUAACUUCUGCGAGUUUCAGUCUGUAUCAAGUAUGCUUCAAAAAAUUCAUAAACGCUCUAGAUGAAUGGUAAUAGACAUUGACAAAUAAGAAAGCUUUUAUCUGAAGAUUAUCAUUGUAAAACCUAUAAAAGGUUUAUUCCAAGUAAGAAAAGUAAUCCCUUCAAUACACAAAUCCAGGUACAACUAAACUGUUGUUCAGUUUAAUACUGUAACCAGAUUUCAAAUAUGGCCGGAUGCACUAUGCAGGUCAAGUCACAAGUGCCAUUCAUAUACCCCUAGGCACAUGGGAAAUCUUCAAACAAGAAAUAUCUUAUGAACUAUCACCUUACCAAAAGGUUUUCUAAAACCAUAACGCCCAAGUCAUUUUCAGAAAUAUCAGAUAAUACCACUUAAAGACUAAUAUGGCCAACCAAAUGAUAUGGAGAAUCAGUACUUACCAACCCAAACACCGGUUAGGCCAUCAAUUCUUGAAGCCUCUAUAGAAAAUGAUGAAGAAAGAACUCGUAUAAUCACCUCCUCAAGGCUCCUGAGGUACCAAUGAAGAUCCAUCUCAUGAUAUCGAAGAUUGAUGAUGGGGUACAUAACUAGCUACAAUUUCAGAUAGAAGCAUUAUAUGUCAGAAACGUAAUAGGUCAAACAAACACAUAAGUUAUCCUAAUCCCCCAUACAAACAGCCACCCAAUGAAGUAUAACACAGCAGUCUUGUCAAAACCACAUUUGAUACGGGAAUUUGUAGAAUGUCUAGAUAAUCAUAGCCCAUCAAAAUCUGGUUACUGAUACAUCUGACUAGACAACUUAGACUAGAAACAUUGCAAGCCCUUGAACCAACGACAUCAAGCAUCGAGAACAACCUAUAUACUUGGCUUAGUAAUCAACUAUAUCAAGAUAGUUAAGGAAGUAGGCAGCAACAAGUGAAAUCAGAAAUGUACCUGACCAGGGCCAUGGUAAGUAACUUCACCACCACGUUCUGUUCGAUACAAUUCAAAAGGAGCAUUCUUUACAUCAAAAAGUAUAUUCUCUUCAGAGCUACCAGUACCCAACGUAUAAACCGGCUGAUGCUGCAACACAAUGAGUGUGUCAGCAAGAUCCUCAUCCCUUUCAAUUUGUGCUUUCCUCUCAUCGACAAUAGUCUUUUGCCAGGACCACGCUUUAGCAUAUGGAACUAACUCUUUGUACAUAUCAUAACAAUCACAGCUAGAGUCAAACAGAGUUAAUCUACUGAAAAACCUUACAUUGCACAACAAGUGUUCGUCAAAAUGUCAACAAGAAAAUCUUACCAUCUUUUGGCUUGACAUCUUGUUAAAGUCGGGCUCUUGAGUAUAGCUGUACUAGAAUUAUGCUUAAUCUUUGAUGGGUUUCCCAGUUUCCAUGUCGGAAUUGAACAGAACAUCGAAUUUGUGAAAACAACCAUUUCUGCAAUAUAUUGACUGUAAAAACCGAUGAACCAAAACCAAUUAAUAACAAAAAAUCCCAAUUAAACAAAAAUUAGGAGAGAAAAAUGUAAUCAAAAGAUUAAAAAGAUUGGAUAUUUGAAGAAUCUGUAAGUGUUACCUUAAUGGAUCUGAACUGAACUCGCUGUUCUUUUAAGAUUAAGAAAGAUCACGGCUUCUUGUUCCCUCCGCUUGGAUUUGUAUACGAAUUAUUAAAUUCAUUUAAUUAAUUACUUUUCAAUUUAGGUAGACGUUUUAAUUUAUUUGAUCUAUUUGACUUACCAAAUUAUUUUUAGAGUCUGUUUGAUUGACUUAAAAGUUAUCAAACAUACUUUUUACAUCAGUUUUAACUUUUGAAAAGUUUAUCAAAGUUAAAGAUAACUUAGAAUAAAUUUAGAAUGACUUGAAAAAAGUUAAAAGUUAAAAGUAGGUAAUUUCAUAUUUUUCAUCUUGUGGUCUUAAACAUGUAAUGUGAAAAAUUUAAAUUUAAUUAAUGCGAAUCAUAAUUGACCAUGUGUAAAAACUAAUUUUGUAUAACCGAAACUAUUUUUAGUUAACAAAUAAUGACAUGGGUGAACUUUUUCUUGAAGAUGAUAAUAGAUGAACCAAAAGAGCAAAACGAAUAUAAAUGUGUAAGUCCUCCCAAUCAAACAAGCAACCGAUGACCAUCAUAAAAGCAAGAGAUAUAGUAGACGUUUGGCCAUAGAAUUUACGGCUUAAAUUUAUAGUUUUGAUUUGAAAUUAUAAUUUAUUCAUGUAAAUAAGCAAAAAUUUUAAUUCAAUUUCAAACUUUUUAAAAUGUAUAAUUUCAAGUUUGAUUAGUGAUUUCAAUAUUGAACUUCGUUUUUUUAACAACGUAUGACGACAAAUAUUCUACUAUAAAAGAAACAUAGAAAUAUGUUAUUUAUUAAUGUAGUACAUCAAGAUAUUCCGAUAGCUUAUAUUUUAUAUAUAAUAAGGUACAAUGGAAAGAUUUUUAUAGUAUUUAGUUAUAUUGUAACUAUCUUGUUAGCUUUCAACCAAAAUGAGUACUUCUUUUAAAUAAUAAAUAUGUUCUCAUUCCUUUUGAAUUUGUUAAUCUGAUUUUGAUCUGACACAUAGUUUACGAAAGUAAAUUAAAUUUUGAGAAAAAAUAUUAAGUGAUACUUGAAGUUGUCCCAGAUUUUCAAAAAGACACCUUAACUUUGCGUGCGUCCUAUUACCCCACAAAACAUUCAAAAUCACAAUAAAUACACAUUUUUUACACAAUAUUUCCACUUUGGACAAAAAUAUCCUUCGAAUGUGCAAUUUCUUAAAAACAAAAAGUGGGACCCAUUAUUGAUGUAUUCAAGGAUGCUUUGGUAAUUUUCCUAUGAUNNNNNNNNNNNNNNNNNNNNNNNNNNNNNNNNNNNNNNNNNNNNNNNNNNNNNNNNNNNNNNNNNNNNNNNNNNNNNNNNNNNNNNNNNNNNNNNNNNNNNNNNNNNNNNNNNNNNNNNNNNNNNNNNNNNNNNNNNNNNNNNNNNNUUUAGUACUACAUAAAUUGAGAAAGAAGAAAUGACCUCUAUUAUUUGAAAAUGGCGUAAAAGUAUUACAAAUCAUACAAUAAGAAUUAACAAUUUAAAAUUUUAAAGACUUUAAUGCUUUAUACUUAUUCUAUUUCCACUUUGGACAAAAAUAUCCUCCCAAUAUGCAUAUUUUUUUAAACAAAAAGUGGGACCCAUUAUUGAUGUAUUGAAGGAUGCUUUGGUAAUUUUCCUAUGAUGAAUUCGUUUUUUUGUUGUUUAAUCUUUUUUAAAUAAUUAUAUAAAAUAUUAUAAAUCACAAUAAUUAUUUACUUAAAUAUUCAAAAGAUAUAAAAAAUAUGUAAAAGGUCUGAUUAACUCUUCAAAUUUUAUCGGUGACACAUAAAAUUGGACAAAUAAAAUAAUAUAUAUUAUUUGAAAAUUACUUAGAAAGUACAAUAAUUUACAGUAAUUAACAAUAGAAUAUUUUAAAGACAAAAAAAAAUUGAAUUGAAUCUCGAAAUUUUAAUUAGUACCACAUAAAUUGAGAAAGAAGAAAUAACCUUUAUUAUUUGAAAAUUGCGUAAAAGAUAUUACAAAUCAUACGACAAUAAUUAGCAAUUUAGAAUGUUAAAAGAACAUAAAAAAAUUUUUACCAUAGUUAACAAUAAUUAAAAAUUUAACUAUUUAAAUUAAUAUUAAAGUUUGAUUAACUCUUUAAUUUUGUCUUUGUUCACAUAAAUUGAACAAAAAAUGAUACAUAUUGGGCCCGUGCUAGCACGGGAUCCGAUGUCUAGUAUAAAGUAUAAACUAAUAUAGUUUGCGCAUUUGCGAAGAAACUGUAUAGAAAUUGAAGAAGUUUUGAUAAUUUUUUUUUUUUAUAACUAUGAAAUAUAACUUAAAAAAUUUAAAUUGCAUGUCUAAAUAAAAUUUGAAGUUGAUUUAACGGACUACAAACUUCAUAGGUAAGGAAGAAGUUGAAAUGUGUCAUACUAAUAUAAUGACCGUCUAAAAUGUAGUAUAAGAAUAACAACUUGUGUCUAUUUGAGACUCCUAAUUGAUUUGCUCAAUGUGACAAAGCUGGAAGCGACUGCUGUUUUAAAAUUCAACCACGUAUAUACCUAAACCAAAAACGAAUCCUUCUUUCCAUAUUCUAAAAUUGAUACUCCCUCCGUUUAGAAAAGAAUGACCUAGUUUGAUUAGGAACGAAAUUUAAGAAAAGAAAGUUAAUCUUAUGGUUCUAAUUAAAGUUAUAUCAAAUGUACCAAAAUGCCCUUUAAUCUUGUGGCCUUAAAUAUGUCAAGUGGAAAGUUAAAGUUAAAGUAUUGCCAAAAAAAAAAGGAAAGGAUCGUUCUUUUUGAAACAGAUUAAAAAGGAAAUUGAGUCAUUCUUUUUUAAACGGAGGGAGUAAAUAUUAAUGUUUGUCUGCACCAAUAGAAAGUCGCAAAAGUGCCACGUGUUCGGAGGAGAAUGCUUAUGACCCUACACGCUAAAUGUAAAAAUAUCAUUGAAAAAUUCAGAACAUGCACCUUUAUGCCUACCUCUCCAAGAAAAGUGGAGAAAAUAGCCAAAAUAAAGGUCACACACAUUAUUAUUAUUAUUAUUUCACUUUACGACAAUACUAACUAAUAUGCCACGAAUCUUCUGCACUCUUUUCAAAUUGCAUAUAUAAAUAUGAAAUCUUGCUCAAAUGGAGAAAGAAAAAAAAAAGUAAGAGAGAAAAAUAAAUAAAAGAAGGUGAAAUUAAUUAAAAUGGCGGUAAAUGGUAGAUUGUUACGUACCUCUAAGCAAAUGGGGUUACGUGACAACAAUGGUGGCCAGAAUCAGCAGCAGCAACGUUGUUAUUCGUUGAUGAAUAAUUAUUCGUUAAAGUUUAAGUGUUUAAACAAAGGUGGCCUUGUUGGCGGAGCAGAGAAGAAGACAGUAGCAACUAAGGCUGUUGGUACUGCGGUUGUGUCUGAACCAAUUACGACACAAAAUUGGAAGAUUUCAGAUCUAAGUUUAAUCGCAGAUAAUAAUGUAUCAGAUCUGAUACUUCAAAACUUGAAAAAUUUACUCAAACAAAUGCCGCAGAAAUUGCAUCACUUACAGUCUUCCAUAGAGAAGGUAUGACUUUUCUUUAAUUUUUCGCCUUAAUUUAUAAUUGCUCACAUGGUAAAUAUGAUUUGUGUAAACACAGUGUUGAUAAGUCUUUAAAAGUUAUAAAAUACGUAGUCGAAUUAUUCCAAAUAUUUCAGCUGGAAUAGCUAUGUACUUUUUUUUUUCUAUUCACUCAUGAUCUGGUGCGAGACUAACACUGAUCCAAUAAUUACGUGACAUAUUUAAUUUAAUUACAUACACUCCUAUCUAAUAUUUUUGUUCAGCUCAAGUUUGUUUUUUAUUCCUUUUUUCUGAUUGGAUAUUGGAACUCUGUUUUGCAGGGUAUUUUGGAUUGCCGGUUCUUCAGUCUUUUUGCAGUCGCAGGGACAUUGAUUGGUUCAUUAUUAUGCUUUAUCGAGGUAAUAUAUUAGUAGUACUAAUUACUAGUAUUAUUAUUUUAUCAUGAAGAAAUAAUUGAUUUUAUGCAAUUUUAAGACUAACAAAUUAAAUAAAUAUUCUCAUUAUUGCAGGGCUGUUACUUAAUCAUAGAGUCAUACGUCCACUAUUUUAUCGCACUCUCACAUAAGUCAGACCUUGGACAUGUCGUGCAGCUAUUGAUCGAAGCUAUUGGUACAUUUUCCCUCUCUUAAACGUUGAAAUUAAUAAUCGAGAAUUGAAUGAACAAGUGUUUAUAUUAUGAGCAUAAAGAAGUUAAACUGUAAUUGAAUAACGUUCUUUUUUUUUUUCUUCAGAUAUGUUUCUAUUGGGGACUGCUAUGCUUACAUUUGGAAUGGGAUUGUAUGUCAUGUUUGUGGGAUCAAGAAAUAUUAAUGUUAAAAGAGAUGAUCAAAUGUCAGGCAAAAAGUUGUAUUAUUUUCAAACACUUCCAUCAUUGAUGGGAAUGAAAUCAGUAAUGCAAGCCAAAUCAAGAAUAGGACAUGCACUUAUAAUGUUACUUCAAGUGGGAGUAUUGGAGAAGUUCAAGAAUAUACCUGUAGUUAAUGGAUUGGAUCUUGCUUGUUUUGCUGCUGCUGUUUUUGUUUCCUCCAUAUGUGUCUUCAUUCUUUCUAGGCUUGCUGUCACUAACACAAAGGCUGGAAACUAAGAUAAUUCAUUUGUAACCAAAAAAAUAGGUCUGUAUACUAGUCGAAAAUUAGGACUUGUUAUAGUUGACCUUAUUAUUAAAUAUUCUUUCAAUUUGUAACAAUUAAAAUACAUUUGUUCAUAUCUGUUUUUGUAUAUUUUUCGAAUCAGUAAAUGAGUUUCUGAUAUGGUCCCCAGUUAUGGAUCUAGUUAUGAGACGCUGCAAGAUAAAAUCUGAAGUUUUCUUUUUUCUACCUAUGGUGCUGGUUUGUUAAGAGAGAACCUGCAAUCUCUUGAGUUUGAAGUACUUUUCUGCUUAUCAUUUCACUAAAUACAAAUAACAUUAAAUACAACACUGGUGGAUUAACCACCCAUCUGAAAAACAAGGAAGUAAAAAUAGGAAAAACAAGUAACUAAAAAGCUGUAGUAAUUACUGCAAACAGAAAUAAAAAAUAAAUAACUUAAUUUCCUUAAAUCUUCCAUGUGUAAAACAUUGGUAGACUAAAAGGGGUGCUAACAGUUUCAUUGUGUUGUUGAUGCGGUUGAGAGUCAUGCAGUUUCAAGUUCAAAUUCCAACGGAGACAAAAAUACUAGUUGAUUCUUUCCAUCCGGAUACCACGGUCAUCAAAAGAAUAAAAUAAUAACUUGAGUUGUUGACACUAUACAAGGGGGGUUACUUGUAUAGAAAUGUUACUCACUCUAGGCACAAUUAAGUAACUAAAUAUCCAGUGAAAUACUUUACAUAAUAGUAUACAGCAAAAUCUGCACUAAUUCAAGAGAGCUAAACUUGUGCUUCACAUUUGAUAAAACUCACCACAAUUUUAACAGUGUGUACGUAGACCAACAAAAGAAUUAUAAAUAGGUUAAAAAAAAGACAUCCUAAAGAAGGCCAGUUUGUUCAAAUGCACAACAUACCAUCACUGCUUUUUUCUUCUUCCGUUCGAUGAAACCUUCUCGGGCUCUCCCUAUACCACCAGGGCUACGCAAAAACAGUGCCCUUUGAAUUCUGAAGAAUAAAGAGGAAUAUGCUAAUCCUAUCUGAUCUCUCUCUAUUGAAUGUCAUCAGCACAUAUCAUAGAGGAAGCAAAUAUGCUCGAAACUUGGAGAAAGCCCUGAGUGUUCUUGUUUCAGCUAUCCUUUCUUGAGCAAACCAUAAAUAUACAUCAACUUGUUAGAGGCUUUGCUUUUCUUAUGUGGCCCAUGCUAUUGACGAGAUCCUUGCGUGUACAAACAGGAAACAUGUUGAUAUUCCUGAAUUCUUUGAACCGCCAAAGGACAUAUGGAAAACUCAGUUGAUCACGGGAUGUAAAGCGAACCACCUCAUUAAACCAUAGGCACAUGAGCAGGUUAGUCGAUGGUGUGUGCUCUCUCACAAUAAUUGAAGCCUCAGAUAGAGCUGCACCGAUAUAGUGAGUGUGAGAAUGAUUUACUGAUUAGAAAACAAUCUUCUCAUUUGAGCAAUUUUGGAAUAGCAGUACUAUAAGUAUGCAGUGGAUAACAAUCACGGUAUAUGCUUCAUUUCAGCUGACAAGGAAAAGAGAAAUUCUACCUUUUUUCCCAUUGAAUCUCUUAUCCUCAGGGAGUCCAUCUUGACGGUACUGAGCUAUCUGCACGGCCACUUCCUCUGGAGUGGCCUUAUUUUUCUUGACAACAGCCUUUGCCUCAUCAUACACGCUACUCCGAGCUCCAUGUUCUGAGAUUGCUAGUACAGAGUUUGAACGCCAGAGCAGAGCUUCCAACACACCCAACGGAUCCCUCCUCAGUUGGGAUUUUGAGUCUACCCAAAUGGAAUAUCUAGAAUUCGGAAAGAGACGAUGGGCCAGCAUCUGAUUAAAUUAGACAUGGAUUAAAUACUUAUAAAUCAUUUAGGUAGUAAAAUGUUCACACUCGUACUAAUUCAAUCCUCGUACUUUUAAAUCUUAAGAUGUAUUAAAAGACAACAAAUUUUCUUUUCCAGACAUUUCUAAUCUUCAAAACUGAUUCAUCAUUCCGAUUUGCUUCAUCACACUUCACCUUUGUAAGGCACCAUAUUUCUUGACGACUCAUGGAGAAGAAUAUUGGGAGUAGGACAAGAUCACCAGAAGUUCCACUUCAAGUAUUAGGAUAUGUUCAUUGUAAAAUGGAAAAGCAUACAAGAAAUUGAGGGAUCAGGCGACAAGCAUACCUUUGGGAUUUUACCAUUCAACCUUUGAUCUGUAAAUGGUAGAUUCUUAACAAGGAUGAUGCGCCACUUUCCGAUAUAACGGUCAUCGCCAACUUUAUGGCCAUCUGCCUCUUGUGAUGCAAGUGUAAUUUCAUCCCAAAAAGCCACAAAGCAAACCUGCAUCAUUUAAUCCAAUGACAUAUAUUAAUUAAGGUGUCCUGCACCACUUUAAAUCCCCAAACCCAACUACAUUGUGAUAAAGUGCAAUUUUACAUAGUGUAAACUAAAGACUGGAAAUCAA
Molecule: long non-coding RNA, 18812 nt
Filed under: Solanum tuberosum (potato)
Lineage: Eukaryota; Viridiplantae; Streptophyta; Magnoliopsida; Solanales; Solanaceae
Description: long non-coding RNA (STUB_LNC005245)
Source: RNAcentral